Molecule: ribosomal RNA, 445 nt
Filed under: uncultured bacterium
Lineage: Bacteria
Description: partial 16S ribosomal RNA
Rfam family: Bacterial small subunit ribosomal RNA
Source: RNAcentral
GUGAGGAAUAUUGCGCAAUGGAGGCAACUCUGACGCAGCCAUGCCGCGUGCAGGAAGAAGGCGCUACGCGUUGUAAACUGCUUUUAACCGGGAAGAAACCCCAGGACGUGUCCUGGGUUGACGGUACCGGAGGAAUAAGCACCGGCUAACUUCGUGCCAGCAGCCGCGGUAAUACGAAGGGUGCAAGCGUUAUCCGGAUUCAUUGGGUUUAAAGGGUGCGUAGGCGGAGCGUUAAGUCAGUGGUGAAAUCCUGCAGCUUAACUGUAGACUUGCCAUUGAUACUGGCGCUCUUGAGUGCGCUUGAAGUGGGCGGAAUGUGCCGUGUAGCGGUGAAAUGCUUAGAUAUGGCACAGAACACCAAUUGCGAAGGCAGCUCACUAAGGCGAUACUGACGCUGAGGCACGAAAGCGUGGGGAUCGAACAGGAUUAGAAACACGUGUAGUCC